RNAcentral lists this unclassified non-coding RNA (414 nucleotides) under Hevea brasiliensis (rubber tree). The record is from RNAcentral. Lineage: Eukaryota; Viridiplantae; Streptophyta; Magnoliopsida; Malpighiales; Euphorbiaceae.
AAAAAAGACCCAUUUGGAUUUGGAUCUUGAUUUGGGGAUUUGAUUGAAUUGGGUUUUGAUUGGAAUUCGGGUUUUUCAGCCAUGACCCGUCGAUGUUCACAUUGCAGUACCAAUGGCCAUAACUCAAGGACUUGUCCUAAUAGAGGUGUGAAGUUGUUUGGGGUCCGAUUGACUGAUGGGUUGAUUCGAAAAAGUGCUAGUAUGGGUAAUUUGUCCCAUUUUGCCAGUGGAAGUGGAGGUGGUAGUACACCUCUAAACGGUGUCGUUCAUGACUCACCUGGUGAUACACCUGAUCAUCCUGCUGCUGCUGGUGGCUCUGUUGAUGGUUAUGCUUCAGAGGAUUUUGUUGCUGGUUCUUCAUCUAGCCGUGAAAGGAAGAAAGGGGUUCCCUGGACUGAGGAGGAGCAUAGGAUG